GCACCCUUAGCUCAGUUGGAUAGAGCGCGUGGCUUCGAACCACGAGGUCGGGGGUUCGAGCCCCUCAGGGUGUACCA
This 77-nucleotide transfer RNA is filed under the name Candidatus Saccharimonadota bacterium. RNAcentral's name for it is "tRNA-Arg". It matches the Rfam family "tRNA". From Rfam's summary of the family: Transfer RNA (tRNA) molecules are approximately 80 nucleotides in length. Lineage: Bacteria; Candidatus Saccharimonadota. The record is from RNAcentral.